AGUAACGCGUGGGUAACCUGCCCUUAAGUCUGGGAUACCAUUUGGAAACAGAUGCUAAUACCGGAUAAAAGCUACUUUCGCAUGAAAGAAGUUUAAAAGGCGGCGUAAGCUGUCGCUAAAGGAUGGACCUGCGAUGCAUUAGCUAGUUGGUAAGGUAACGGCUUACCAAGGCGAUGAUGCAUAGCCGAGUUGAGAGACUGAUCGGCCACAUUGGGACUGAGACACGGCCCAAACUCCUACGGGAGGCAGCAGUC
This 254-nucleotide ribosomal RNA is filed under the name uncultured Lactobacillus sp. Its description in RNAcentral is "partial 16S ribosomal RNA". It matches the Rfam family "Bacterial small subunit ribosomal RNA", at positions 109 to 355 of the family's 1533-position model. Lineage: Bacteria; Bacillati; Bacillota; Bacilli; Lactobacillales; Lactobacillaceae. The record is from RNAcentral.